Long non-coding RNA from Gasterosteus aculeatus aculeatus (three-spined stickleback), 2384 nucleotides. Lineage: Eukaryota; Metazoa; Chordata; Actinopteri; Perciformes; Gasterosteidae. The record is from Ensembl.
GCAAAGUGCGUGUCAAAGAUAACGCUCUGAACAAACCAUCGCGCUACACAAGACGUGAACCCUGCGACCUCCAGCAGUGUCAUGGCUGUGCUGCGUGGAUCUACACACGACCACGGGGAGGAAACCGGAGCAGAGGAGCAGGAGGCGAAGGACAUGUCACGUUGGGCGGGGGAGGAUGGAGCCAUUGAACAUCUGCCAUGAGUUUUAGGUGCGCCCAAGAGUUUUCAGCCAAAUGCCGUUUCCGUCUUCUACGAUGGUAAUUUGACAAAGAGACGACACUCUUUUUGCAGCUGCAAAAAGUCGUAUUUCUAUUAUUAUUGCCAGAAAAGCAAGAAUGGGAGAUACAGCUUUAAGCUCCCGGAGGCUACAUCCCAAGGUCUUUCAUGCUUGUGGGAAAAUAUCUUGAUCUCCACAAAACUUCCCUGGAGCCUCUCAUGAUGGAAACCUCUUCACUGAAUCCAAAACCCAAGCUCUGAUUCAACUGUGAAGCCACAGCCCGUCACUCACAGAAAUCACAGAAAUGUGGCUUCCUGCUGCAUGAUGAUAUGAAAAGGCACUGCGCUUGUUGGAUGUGUUCUUUGUUGCAGCUACAAGCUUGUCAGCUGCUAAGUGACCUGUGAGCUCGUCAUUUUAAAUACAAUAUAACGUAUUAUAUUUUGUGCAGGCAGCCACGACUCCCUUUUCCCCCAAAUUCUUCCAUUUCUUUUUUUUUUCUUUUUUUUUUCUUUUAGCUACUAGGUCCAGCUGUUUUAUAUGCAGCUGAUCAACGACGCCCAAUCAAGCGCAAGAGAAAAAGAACAAAUGAAAUGAACACUAAAAAACACCACAUGUUGUAUUCUUUGUAUUUAUUUAUUUAGAAUAAAAGUUCAAAGGCCAAAACAUUGAACAGGAAAUAAAAAAGUCAAAGUUUAAAUAUAGCUGCCGUUUAAUCCACAGAAUGAGAGUGAGAGACACCUGCGUGGCCGUCAGCCACGGCCUCGUUAACUCAGCUCUAAAAAUGGUAAUUCAGAGCCGUAUUAAAGCUGACACAUAUUUGCAGUUGGUAUUUAUUUUAAUUAGAACAGUUAAAGGAAACAGCUUUGGUAAUUAUGAUAAAGUGUUGGCAGCCUGGAUUGCUGGUGCAUCAAUAUUUGACUUCCGCAGGAUUAUAAAAUGUGGCGAGGGAGAAAAAACAUGACAGGAGGACGACACCCCCCCCGUCAGAAGUGAUUGAAUUUACAUCCACCACGAUUCUUUCCAAAAUGGCAGCAGGGCUUGGCUCUGAUUUUUAUUUUGCUCAUCCCUUGAUGGAGCCUUACGCUGUUUGACAAGACAGCAUGUUUGAACGAGUUGAGCUGGAAAAACUCAUAUUUACUGGCAUUUUACCUGAAAAAAAAGAACUCCUCGUGUUUGGCUUGGCACUGGUUUGAUUUUUGUUGUGCAUCAAUAAUUUCAAUAAUAACAAGCAGGAAAAAUGUGUGUUUGUACAGACUCCUUUAGCACUUUAGCACCUUUUAAGCUCGUUGUUUCGGUUUUCCGUCCAACUGAUCGAAGCGGCUUCGGUCUGCAAGGCCCAAAAAGUCCAUUUGAUUCUACAGUUUGAAUGCGGAAUCACAGAGGAAGGUAACGUGCUGACCAAGGUAAGAGGAGUUUGAACACUGACUUAAAUUCAUCUUUCAGUUGUAAUGUUGCCCUGUGUCUGCAUGAAGCCUAAACCAGCCCACAGUUUGCUUUUAACCGUCAUAUUAACAAAGUGCUGCAUGAACUCUUUUUUUUGUUGUUCACGUGGGGCCGAAACUCAGUCAAUACAAUAAAACUAAAUCAGCUCAGUUGGUGAAUUCACUUUCAAACUCCUGACAAGAAUAUUAUAAGUUGGACGUAUUUUUUAAAAGUUGCAACCAAGCGUCAGAAGAAAACCAACACAGGCGCAAUGAUGCAUGAGGGGAGAAAACACACUUAUAUUUGUGUGUUUCACCUACAGCCUACAGUCCUGCUGCUAUAUUAUAUCAUAUUAUAUAUCGUAUACUAACACUUUUUACUUGCUUUGCAGGAAUGUAAGUAAUGAUGCAACCUUAACGCUUGUCUUUUAAAGUGGUUACAUAUCUUCAAAUACAAUAUGCACUUUGUUGAUGUUUUGGCUUCACUUUUGGAAAGCUUUGCUGUUUUACGUCUUCAUAGACGGUCACAACUACACCAACGCGUCUUUAUUAUUAUCCCUGUGUCCACCCGUUCGGCAGCUCAGCUUUUCAGAUUUUUCCGCCCAAUAAAAAAUAAAGAAUGAUAAACCAUAAAAUGUUCCACAUCUUGCACACAUUGAUUUCAAAUUCCAUAAAAUAUUGACUUUACUUAUUUUUUUCCUGAGUACGUGAAGUUUGACCAAUUAACCAAUUACUUAGCAGUAACCA